CCUACGGGUGGCAGCAGUGAGGAAUAUUCGUCAAUGGACGAGAGUCUGAACGAGCCACGUAGCGUGAAGGAUGACUGCCCUAUGGGUUGUAAACUUCGUUUAUAUGGGAAUAAAAUGUUCCACGUGUGGGAUUUUGUACGUACCAUAUGAAAACGGAUCGGCUAACUCCGUGCCAGCAGCCGCGGUACUACGGAGGAUCCGAGCGUUAUCCGGAUUUAUUGGGUUUAAAGGGAGCGUAGGUGGAUUGUUAAGUCAGUUGUGAAAGUGUGCGGCUCAACCGGAAAAGUGCAGUUGAAACUGGCAGUCUUGAGUACAGUAGAGGUGGGCGGAAUUCGUGGUGUAGCGGUGAAAUGCUUAGAUAUCACGAAGAACUCCGAUUGCGAAGGCAGCUCACUGGACUGCAACUGACACUGAGGCUCGAAAGUGUGGGUAUCAAACAGAAUUAGAUACCCGUGUAGUC
This 460-nucleotide ribosomal RNA is filed under the name uncultured bacterium. RNAcentral's name for it is "partial 16S ribosomal RNA". It matches the Rfam family "Bacterial small subunit ribosomal RNA", at positions 338 to 795 of the family's 1533-position model. The record is from RNAcentral.